AGAGUUUGAUCCUGGCUCAGAUUGAACUCUGGCGGCAGGCCUAACACAUGCAAGUCGAACGGUAACAGGAAGCAGCUUGCUGCUUCGCUGACGAGUGGCGGACGGGUGAGUAAUGUCUGGGAAACUGCCUGAUGGAGGGGGAUAACUACUGGAAACGGUAGCUAAUACCGCAUAACGUCGCAAGACCAAAGAGGGGGACCUUCGGGCCUCUUGCCAUCGGAUGUGCCCAGAUGGGAUUAGCUUGUUGGUGGGGUAACGGCUCACCAAGGCGACGAUCCCUAGCUGGUCUGAGAGGAUGACCAGCCACACUGGAACUGAGACACGGUCCAGACUCCUACGGGAGGCAGCAGUGGGGAAUAUUGCACAAUGGGCGCAAGCCUGAUGCAGCCAUGCCGCGUGUAUGAAGAAGGCCUUCGGGUUGUAAAGUACUUUCAGCGGGGAGGAAGGGAGUAAAGUUAAUACCUUUGCUCAUUGACGUUACCCGCAGAAGAAGCACCGGCUAACUCCGUGCCAGCAGCCGCGGUAAUACGGAGGGUGCAAGCGUUAAUCGGAAUUACUGGGCGUAAAGCGCACGCAGGCGGUUUGUUAAGUCAGAUGUGAAAUCCCCGGGCUCAACCUGGGAACUGCAUCUGAUACUGGCAAGCUUGAGUCUCGUAGAGGGGGGUAAAAUUCCAGGUGUAGCGGUGAAAUGCGUAGAGAUCUGGAGGAAUACCGGUGGCGAAGGCGGCCCCCUGGACGAAGACUGACGCUCAGGUGCGAAAGCGUGGGGAGCAAACAGGAUUAGAUACCUUGGUAGUCCACGCCGUAAACGAUGUCGACUUGGAGGUUGUGCCCUUGAGGCGUGGCUUCCGGAGCUAACGCGUUAAGUCGACCGCCUGGGGAGUACGGCCGCAAGGUUAAAACUCAAAUGAAUUGACGGGGGCCCGCACAAGCGGUGGAGCAUGUGGUUUAAUUCGAUGCAACGCGAAGAACCUUACCUGGUCUUGACAUCCACGGAAGUUUUCAGAGAUGAGAAUGUGCCUUCGGGAACCGUGAGACAGGUGCUGCAUGGCUGUCGUCAGCUCGUGUUGUGAAAUGUUGGGUUAAGUCCCGCAACGAGCGCAACCCUUAUCCUUUGUUGCCAGCGGUCCGGCCGGGAACUCAAAGGAGACUGCCAGUGAUAAACUGGAGGAAGGUGGGGAUGACGUCAAGUCAUCAUGGCCCUUACGACCAGGGCUACACACGUGCUACAAUGGCGCAUACAAAGAGAAGCGACCUCGCGAGAGCAAGCGGACCUCAUAAAGUGCGUCGUAGUCCGGAUUGGAGUCUGCAACUCGACUCCAUGAAGUCGGAAUCGCUAGUAAUCGUGGAUCAGAAUGCCACGGUGAAUACGUUCCCGGGCCUUGUACUCACCGCCCGUCA
Molecule: ribosomal RNA, 1401 nt
Filed under: uncultured bacterium
Lineage: Bacteria
Description: bacterial SSU rRNA
Rfam family: Bacterial small subunit ribosomal RNA
Source: RNAcentral